RNAcentral lists this ribosomal RNA (460 nucleotides) under uncultured bacterium. Its description in RNAcentral is "partial 16S ribosomal RNA". It matches the Rfam family "Bacterial small subunit ribosomal RNA", at positions 338 to 795 of the family's 1533-position model. The record is from RNAcentral.
CCUACGGGUGGCAGCAGUGAGGAAUAUUGGUCAAUGGGCGCGAGCCUGAACCAGCCAAGUCGCGUGAGGGAUGACGGUCCUACGGAUUGUAAACCUCUUUUGCCGGGGAGCAAGCGUGCGUUCGUGAACGCGCGUCGAGAGUACCCGGAGAAAAAGCAUCGGCUAACUCCGUGCCAGCAGCCGCGGUAAUACGGAGGAUGCGAGCGUUAUCCGGAUUUAUUGGGUUUAAAGGGUGCGUAGGCGGGAUGCCAAGUCAGCGGUAAAAAUGCGGUGCUCAACGCCGUCGAGCCGUUGAAACUGGCGUUCUUGAGUGCGCGAAGGGUAGGCGGAAUGCGUGGUGUAGCGGUGAAAUGCAUAGAUAUCACGCAGAACUCCGAUCGCGAAGGCAGCCUACCGGCGCGCAACUGACGCUCAUGCACGAAAGCGUGGGUAUCGAACAGGAUUAGAUACCCUGGUAGUC